RNAcentral lists this non-coding RNA (22 nucleotides) under Arabidopsis thaliana (thale cress). The record is from RNAcentral. Lineage: Eukaryota; Viridiplantae; Streptophyta; Magnoliopsida; Brassicales; Brassicaceae.
AAGUGAUUGUUGGAACCAUGUA